GUUAGAAAACCGAGAAAAGAUUGGGGAAAAACUCCGGAUGCCCCAGAUGUUGAACCAGCUGACGACCUGGAACGAGUCCGGAUCUGUCGGAACUCACUUUGUCAUGGGCCACAGUCAAUUAGCGAUACGGAAUUUGAAAAGAAAUGGAAAGAAUUAAAGGAGAUCAUACACAGACUUGCUGGAGGUGUACUAGAUGGAGAGAUAGAUUCUCUACAAAACAAAGAUCUAGAUCACUCAGCACGGUCCUCUCUUAAACGAAACUUGACCGUUUUGACAGAAAGACUUCGAAACAUAGAGAAAUGCGUCGAGGAUCACAUUCCAAAGAACAUAAGAGAACAACUUCAGAGAAAAGUUCAAAAGUGGAGAGAGG
Saccostrea cuccullata (small rock oyster) is the source of this 370-nucleotide long non-coding RNA. RefSeq lists it as uncharacterized. Lineage: Eukaryota; Metazoa; Mollusca; Bivalvia; Ostreida; Ostreidae. The record is from RefSeq and is a predicted model, not a curated record. The transcript is spliced from 3 exons.